UGAAGCGGAGCAAAUCUCAAAAACCGGUCCCAGUUCGGAUUGUAGGCUGCAACUCGCCUACAUGAAGCUGGAAUCGCUAGUAAUCGCGAAUCAGCAUGUCGCGGUGAAUACGUUCCCGGGUCUUGUACACACCGCCCGUCACACCAUGGGAGUUGGUAACGCCCGAAGUCAGUGACCUAACCGCAAGGGAGGAGCUGCCGAAGGUGGGGCCAGUAACUGGGGUGAAGUCGUAACAAGGUAUC
Molecule: ribosomal RNA, 242 nt
Filed under: uncultured bacterium
Lineage: Bacteria
Description: partial 16S ribosomal RNA
Rfam family: Bacterial small subunit ribosomal RNA
Source: RNAcentral